AAGGGAGACCUAAUUCGGGUAUAAGACGAAAAAAUAGUAGUCGAAACCAAGAAUCAAUCCCAAAAGGUCGGAGCGAGGCAUGAGGCUUUCAAACUAGGUUCUGGGUUCAUAAAAGACCUGAAUCAGGAACAAGGGCUAUUAGCUCAGGUGGUUAGAGCGCACCCCUGAUAAGGGUGAGGUCCCUGGUUCGAGUCCAGGAUGGCCCACCUGCACAGGUGGCAAAAAGAAAGAAAAGAAGCGAGGAAUCAGCACCUUAUCUUACUUACAUAGUAAGAGAGAGUGCUGGCUCUGAGUUCAGAGUCCAGAGGAACCUUGAAAACUGCAUAGAGCUAGGUGAAAAAGCCAAAAAAGAAGACCGCAA
This 361-nucleotide transfer RNA is filed under the name Microcystis sp. BG18. Its description in RNAcentral is "16S-23S ribosomal RNA intergenic spacer". The stretch from base 133 to 206 matches the Rfam family "tRNA". The record is from RNAcentral. Lineage: Bacteria; Bacillati; Cyanobacteriota; Cyanophyceae; Chroococcales; Microcystaceae.